This 159-nucleotide ribosomal RNA is filed under the name Ficus tsiangii. RNAcentral's name for it is "5.8S ribosomal RNA". It matches the Rfam family "5.8S ribosomal RNA". Rfam says of the family: 5.8S ribosomal RNA (5.8S rRNA) is a component of the large subunit of the eukaryotic ribosome. It is transcribed by RNA polymerase I as part of the 45S precursor that also contains 18S and 28S rRNA. Lineage: Eukaryota; Viridiplantae; Streptophyta; Magnoliopsida; Rosales; Moraceae. The record is from RNAcentral.
UCUCGGCAACGGAUAUCUCGGCUCUCGCAUCGAUGAAGAACGUAGCGAAAUGCGAUACUUGGUGUGAAUUGCAGAAUCCCGUGAACCAUCGAGUCUUUGAACGCAAGUUGCGCCCGAAGCCAUCAGGUCGAGGGCCACGUCUGCCUGGGCGUCACACGC